UGAAGCUUUAUUUACACUCAUCUUGGAGAUCCAUAGGAGGCGAGAUAUGAUGGCCAUGCAUAUGCAAAUGCUAGAUCAACACCUUCAUUGUCCCACAUUUGGUACUCAUCGGAUUCUGUCUCAAACAACGCCUAACAUUUCUGUUGAAGCAGUAGCAAACUUGCGCUAUUCCCCAAUAACAUAUCCAAGUGUACUUGGAGAACCGUU
RNAcentral lists this unclassified non-coding RNA (207 nucleotides) under Hevea brasiliensis (rubber tree). Lineage: Eukaryota; Viridiplantae; Streptophyta; Magnoliopsida; Malpighiales; Euphorbiaceae. The record is from RNAcentral.